UACGUAGGGUGCGAGCGUUGCCCGGAUUUAUUGGGCGUAAAGGGCGCGUAGGCGGCCACGCACGUCCGUUGUGAAAUCGCCCGGCUCAACUGGGCGGGGUCGGCGGAUACGGUGUGGCUCGAGCAAGCUAGGGGGCAAUGGAAUUCCCGGUGUAGUGGUGGAAUGCGUAGAUAUCGGGAGGAACACCAGUGGCGAAGGCGGUUGCCUGGAGCUUUGCUGACGCUGAGGCGCGAAAGCGUGGGGAGCGAUCCGG
Molecule: ribosomal RNA, 253 nt
Filed under: uncultured bacterium
Lineage: Bacteria
Description: partial 16S ribosomal RNA
Rfam family: Bacterial small subunit ribosomal RNA
Source: RNAcentral